AGCUGGCUGACGAGUCCCAAAUAGGGCGAAAUGCGCAUUGUCUUGGU
This 47-nucleotide non-coding RNA is filed under the name Trichobilharzia regenti. Lineage: Eukaryota; Metazoa; Platyhelminthes; Trematoda; Strigeidida; Schistosomatidae. The record is from RNAcentral.